GUGGGGAAUAUUGGACAAUGGGCGAAAGCCUGAUCCAGCCAUGCCGCGUGUGUGAAGAAGGUCUUCGGAUUGUAAAGCACUUUAAGUUGGGAGGAAGGGCAGUAAGUUAAUACCUUGCUGUUUUGACGUUACCGACAGAAUAAGCACCGGCUAACUUCGUGCCAGCAGCCGCGGUAAUACGAAGGGUGCAAGCGUUAAUCGGAAUUACUGGGCGUAAAGCGCGCGUAGGUGGUUUUGUAAGUUGGAGGUGAAAUCCCCGGGCUCAACCUGGGAACUGCCUCCAAAACUGCAUGACUAGAGUACGGUAGAGGGUAGUGGAAUUUCCUGUGUAGCGGUGAAAUGCGUAGAUAUAGGAAGGAACAACAGUGGCGAAGGCGACUACCUGGACUGAUACUGACACUGAGGUGCGAAAGCGUGGGGAGCAAACAGGAUUAGAUACCCCUGUAGUCC
Molecule: ribosomal RNA, 450 nt
Filed under: uncultured bacterium
Lineage: Bacteria
Description: partial 16S ribosomal RNA
Rfam family: Bacterial small subunit ribosomal RNA
Source: RNAcentral